GGUUAAGCGACUAAGCGUACACGGUGGAUGCCCUGGCAGUCAGAGGCGAUGAAGGACGUGCUAAUCUGCGAUAAGCGUCGGUAAGGUGAUAUGAACCGUUAUAACCGGCGAUUUCCGAAUGGGGAAACCCAGUGUGAUUCGUCACACUAUCAUUACGUGAAUACAUAGCGUAAUGAAGCGAACCGGGGGAACUGAAACAUCUAAGUACCCCGAGGAAAAGAAAUCAACCGAGAUUCCCCCAGUAGCGGCGAGCGAACGGGGAGCAGCCCAGAGUCUGAAUCAGCUUGUGUGUUAGUGGAACGGUCUGGAAAGUCCGACGGUACAGGGUGAUAGUCCCGUACACCAAAAUGCACAGGUUGUGAACUCGAAGAGUAGGGCGGGACACGUGGUAUCCUGUCUGAAUAUGGGGGGACCAUCCUCCAAGGCUAAAUACUCCUGACUGACCGAUAGUGAACCAGUACCGUGAGGGAAAGGCGAAAAGAACCCCGGCGAGGGGAGUGAAAAAGAACCUGAAACCGUGUACGUACAAGCAGUGGGAGCAUCCUUUUGGGUGUGACUGCGUACCUUUUGUAUAAUGGGUCAGCGACUUAUAUUCUGUAGCAAGGUUAACCGUAUAGGGGAGCCGAAGGGAAACCGAGUCUUAACUGGGCGUUAAGUUGCAGGGUAUAGACCCGAAACCCGGUGAUCUAGCCAUGGGCAGGUUGAAGGUUGGGUAACACUAACUGGAGGACCGAACCGACUAAUGUUGAAAAAUUAGCGGAUGACUUGUGGCUG
This 774-nucleotide ribosomal RNA is filed under the name Citrobacter freundii. RNAcentral's name for it is "partial 23S ribosomal RNA". It matches the Rfam family "Bacterial large subunit ribosomal RNA", at positions 1 to 817 of the family's 2925-position model. Lineage: Bacteria; Pseudomonadati; Pseudomonadota; Gammaproteobacteria; Enterobacterales; Enterobacteriaceae. The record is from RNAcentral.